RNAcentral lists this long non-coding RNA (228 nucleotides) under Cyanistes caeruleus (blue tit). Its description in RNAcentral is "lncRNA (ENSCCEG00000014092.1)". Lineage: Eukaryota; Metazoa; Chordata; Aves; Passeriformes; Paridae. The record is from RNAcentral.
GGAAACAAGCUGCUAAAAGAUCCACUCUUUCACUCCCUGUUUUCCGGUCUCCUUCUCCAAGUUAUGCAUAGCUGAAAACCGCUUUAUCCUUAUACAAGCUUUUCAGAACAUUGCAGUAACAUCAAGAGUUACUUGCUGGUAUUUGCCAAGCCUUCAAUUGCAUUGCCAUACAGCCAGCUAGAAGAGAGUCCCACAGAAGGAUGCACCAAAAAGCAGCCAUCCCUGCAA